GAUGAACGCUGGCGGCGUGCCUAAUACAUGCAAGUCGAGCGAACAGACGAGGAGCUUGCUCCUCUGACGUUAGCGGCGGACGGGUGAGUAACACGUGGAUAACCUACCUAUAAGACUGGGAUAACUUCGGGAAACCGGAGCUAAUACCGGAUAAUAUAUUGAACCGCAUGGUUCAAUAGUGAAAGACGGUUUUGCUGUCACUUAUAGAUGGAUCCGCGCCGCAUUAGCUAGUUGGUAAGGUAACGGCUUACCAAGGCAACGAUGCGUAGCCGACCUGAGAGGGUGAGCGGCCACACGGGAACGGAGACACGGUCCAGACUCCUACGGGAGGCAGCAGUAGGGAAUCUUCCGCGAGGGGCGAAAGCCUGACGGAGCAACGCCGCGUGAGUGAUGAAGGUCGUCGGAUCGAAAAACUCUGUUAUUAGGGAAGAACAAAUGUGUAAGUAACUAGGCACGUCGUGACGGUACCUAAUCAGAAAGCCACGGCUAACUACG
RNAcentral lists this ribosomal RNA (495 nucleotides) under uncultured bacterium. RNAcentral describes it as "partial 16S ribosomal RNA". It matches the Rfam family "Bacterial small subunit ribosomal RNA", at positions 28 to 505 of the family's 1533-position model. The record is from RNAcentral.